CGGCGGACGGGUGAGUAACACGUGGGUAACCUGCCUGUAAGAUCGGGAUAACUCCGGGAAACCGGGGCUAAUACCGGAUAAUUCAUUUCCUCGCAUGAGGAAAUGUUGAAAGGUGGCUUUUAGCUACCACUUACAGAUGGACCCGCGGCGCAUUAGCUAGUUGGUGAGGUAACGGCUCACCAAGGCCACGAUGCGUAGCCGACCUGAGAGGGUGAUCGGCCACACUGGGACUGAGACACGGCCCAGACUCCUAC
This 254-nucleotide ribosomal RNA is filed under the name Bacillus sp. (in: firmicutes). Its description in RNAcentral is "Bacillus sp. (in: Bacteria) partial 16S ribosomal RNA". It matches the Rfam family "Bacterial small subunit ribosomal RNA", at positions 96 to 342 of the family's 1533-position model. Lineage: Bacteria; Bacillati; Bacillota; Bacilli; Caryophanales; Bacillaceae. The record is from RNAcentral.